CAGCCGCCGCGGGAAUACGUAGGGUGCAAGCGUUAAUCGGAAUUACUGGGCGUAAAGCGUGCGUAGGUGGUGGUUUAAGUCCGUUGUGAAAGCCCUGGGCUCAACCUGGGAAUUGCAGUGGAUACUGGGUCACUAGAGUGUGGUAGAGGAUAGUGGAAUUUCCGGUGUAGCAGUGAAAUGCGUAGAGAUCGGAAGGAACGUCUGUGGCGAAGGCGACUAUCUGGGCCAACACUGACACUGAGGCACGAAAGCGUGGGGAGCAAACAGGAUUAGAUACCCCUGUAGUCCCUGUCUCUUAUAC
RNAcentral lists this ribosomal RNA (301 nucleotides) under uncultured bacterium. RNAcentral's name for it is "partial 16S ribosomal RNA". It matches the Rfam family "Bacterial small subunit ribosomal RNA", at positions 509 to 807 of the family's 1533-position model. The record is from RNAcentral.